UCUCUAUGUGCAUGGACUCUUCCUUCGGUAUCAUUUCCAGUCCGUGGAAAAAUAGUCUAUUUUCCCACAAAAAUAUGUAUAUCAUAUUAGAUAGAGCCCAAUUUAUCAUUACGUGUUAGAUAUCCCCGAAAACAUACUUAUCUACUUAUAUCUCCAUAAAUUCAUAGUUUGAAUCUCGUUUCUUCCUAAAUUUAUGUGGAUAUAACUCGAUAAGUAAUUUUUUGGGGGACAUCUAGCACGUAAUCAUAUAUUGGGCUCUAUCUAGUAUGAUGUGAUAGUUAUUGUGGAUUAAUCGUAGAUUAAUCUUUUCAUGGCUAUAUCAAAAUUU
RNAcentral lists this small RNA (328 nucleotides) under Arabidopsis thaliana (thale cress). RNAcentral's name for it is "ATSL281490". Lineage: Eukaryota; Viridiplantae; Streptophyta; Magnoliopsida; Brassicales; Brassicaceae. The record is from RNAcentral.